This is an RNA transcript of Musa acuminata AAA Group (dessert banana), 1479 nucleotides long. RefSeq lists it as uncharacterized. The transcript is spliced from 7 exons. The record is from RefSeq and is a predicted model, not a curated record. Lineage: Eukaryota; Viridiplantae; Streptophyta; Magnoliopsida; Zingiberales; Musaceae.
ACAUGUGGCGAUGGCUCCGCCGCAACGGGGAGCAAGGCGCCGAUUCAAUCCACCUCCCUCCUCCCUUUCCCUAUCCAAGUCUACUUUCAAUGCACCUCGUUUGUUGUCGUCAAUUCCUCGUCUUUUUAAUCUGCCGCUCGCAAGGACGCGGCUUGCUCUGCCAGCAGGCAUCGAGCUUCUCGUGGUCCCCGGUGAGCAGCCAUGAAGUCCCAUCGCCUCGUACUUCGCCGUUCCGGAGGCCUGAUGCCAUCCGGAAUCCCGAGCAAGCCGAAGCUCGGCCUUAGAGUUCUCGGAAUCUUCUCGGCGUGGCCGAGGCUUGCGUCCUUUGCGCCCGUGAAAGCCAGCUCGGGCGUCGGGGACACCUCCGUCUCGCAUUCGACCAUCGUUCCCGCUUCCGCGGCCGAACCGGGGCAUCGAAGGGAUCCCGUGCUGGGUUCCUUGGAAGUUGAUGACGUGGAAGAGAAGCUCGAAAAGGUGAUAUAUAGGUGCCGAUUCUUCGCGUUCCUCCCGGUGGCUGGUUCUCUGAUGGGUUCCAUAAUCUGUUUUCUCAAGGGUUGCACAUCUGUGAUAGAUUCAUUCGGAGAAUAUUUUUUGAGUGGUGGGAAAGUGAUUCUGAUGUUGGUUGGAGCCAUUGAUGUCUAUCUUAUUGGAACUGUGAUGCUUGUGUUUGGAAUGGGUCUCUACGAGCUCUUCAUCAGUAAUUUUGAUAUAGCAAAAAUGUCCUCCUCUGGAUCAAACCUGCUUGGAUUAUUCAAACUUCUGGAACGACCUAGGUGGCUGGAAAUAAAGUCAGUCAAUGAAUUGAAGACUAAGGUGGGGCACGUCAUAGUGAUGGCUCUAUUGGUUGGGAUGUUUGAAAAUAGCAAGAAGGUCACAAUAUCUUCUCCAGCAGAUUUACUAUGCUUCGCAGCUUCUAUUCUGCUGUCUUCAAGUUGCCUUUAUCUUCUGUCAAAGCUUCAUGCCACCAAAUGAAUUUCAGUACUGAAAGCACCUACUUCAUCUGGAAGACUUGUUUGCCAUAAGUUCCUCCAUCAAAGCAUAUCUCUUCAAUGAAAAAAUCAGAUGCUUCAGUGGUACUCACCAUUUUGGAUCCAUUCACAAACUCAGGAAAUUGCUUGUCCUCCAAUCCAACUGGCCUCAGCUGGAUGCUCUUCCACUCGGCUGAAGCAGGAACCCUAGAAUGCAAUGCAUGGAUGGCCUCCGGCUGCGCUUCGACGGUGGCGAAAAAUCCAUUCCCCAGAAAGCUCCUCAAGGAUAUACAUGGUAGAUACUUGAUGCAGUGGCAGGCACCCACCAACCCGGGACAUAGCCCCAGUAUCGGCCAUGGCAUCCCUCAUAAGAUCUGAAUCUGAUAUUAUUCUGUUCUGGUUAAAAUGUUGCAUGAACCGGUGUGCUCCUGUUGUACGCGCAUGUGAUGUAUUGCCAUAGAGUCUAACUUGUUUCCUAUCAUAAAGCUUCAUGCAGAUCUCCUUCUUGUCA